Molecule: small nucleolar RNA, 160 nt
Filed under: Paramuricea clavata
Lineage: Eukaryota; Metazoa; Cnidaria; Anthozoa; Malacalcyonacea; Plexauridae
Source: RNAcentral
UGAUGGUUGGUAGUUCCCUGUGAUGUCUAUAGAAAGUGACAUUAUAGUUUUCCUCCAUCAUAAAGCAAACAUACACAUGAACUUCUUCACCCUCUAACACAAACUGAGCAGAAAUGCUAGUUCUCUGUUGAGUUGGAGUGUUUUGCAUGUUCAUACAUUU